This 542-nucleotide ribosomal RNA is filed under the name uncultured bacterium. RNAcentral describes it as "bacterial SSU rRNA". It matches the Rfam family "Bacterial small subunit ribosomal RNA", at positions 153 to 692 of the family's 1533-position model. The record is from RNAcentral.
GAAAUUUGGAUUAAUGCCCCAUAGCUCCACUGAUUCGCAUGUUUUAGUGGAUAAAGUUUCUCCCCNUAAAAGAUGGGCAUGCGUGGCAUUAGCUAGUUGGUGAGGUAACGGCUUACCAAGGCGACGAUGCCUAGGGGUUCUGAGAGGAUUAUCCCCCACACUGGUACUGAGACACGGACCAGACUCCUACGGGAGGCAGCAGUGAGGAAUAUUGGUCAAUGGGCGCAAGCCUGAACCAGCCAUCCCGCGUGCAGGAUGACGGCCCUAUGGGUUGUAAACUGGUUUUAUAUGCCAAGAAACCCAUCUACGUGUAGAUGGCUGACGGUAGUAUAUGAAUAAGCAUCGGCUAACUCCGUGCCAGCAGCCGCGGUAAUACGGAGGAUGCAANCGUUAUCCGGAUUCAUUGGGUUUAAAGGGUGCGUANGCGGUCUUUUAAGUCAGUGGUGAAAUCCUGCGGCUCAUCCGUAGAACUGCCAUUGAAACUGAAAGACUUGAAUACACCACAGGUUAGCGGAAUGUGUAGUGUAGCGGUGAAAUGCUUA